GACGAAGGGGGCUAGCGUUGUUCGGAAUUACUGGGCGUAAAGCGCGUGUAGGCGGUUAUCCAAGUCGGGUGUGAAAGCCUUGAGCUCAACUCAAGAAAUGCAUUCGGUACUGGGUGACUAGAGGACCGGAGAGGAUAGUGGAAUUCCCAGUGUAGUGGUGAAAUACGUAGAGAUUGGGAAGAACACCAGUGGCGAAGGCGGCUAUCUGGACGGUUUCUGACGCUGAGGUGCGAAAGCGUGGGGAGCAAACAGG
Molecule: ribosomal RNA, 253 nt
Filed under: uncultured bacterium
Lineage: Bacteria
Description: partial 16S ribosomal RNA
Rfam family: Bacterial small subunit ribosomal RNA
Source: RNAcentral